ACUGAGUCAGUGGAGAACAGGUCUGGUAGAAUUCCCUUUAACAAAGUCAGGAAGGCUUGGAUGGAAUAGAGCCUGGAGUGUCAGCCCUGAGGAGCAGAGAAUGACCUUCAUGGCAUGUGGCUGUACAUGCAAAGGCCCUGGGGCAGGACCGAGAUCCUGGCCAAGGUCUAAGAGCUGAUACAAGGCCUGUGUGUCUACAGCAGAGACAGCAGCUCUGACUGACAGAGAUGACAGUUGCAUAACUUCCCAAGCUUUGGGCUCGGUUCUUCCGGUUUUGUCCCUUCCGCAGGAAGGGCAGUGAAGGAUUCUGGGCGCUGAGGUCAUCAGGUUCUGGCCUUGCUCUUCCCUGGGGGCCCAGCAACCUCACCAUGCUGCAUGACAGCCCCAGGAGUCUGGCAUCUCCUGGGCAUCCUGUAUUCAAUCCACCCUGC
Molecule: long non-coding RNA, 431 nt
Filed under: Fukomys damarensis (Damara mole-rat)
Lineage: Eukaryota; Metazoa; Chordata; Mammalia; Rodentia; Bathyergidae
Description: lncRNA (ENSFDAG00000031460.1)
Source: RNAcentral